This 301-nucleotide ribosomal RNA is filed under the name uncultured bacterium. Its description in RNAcentral is "partial 16S ribosomal RNA". It matches the Rfam family "Bacterial small subunit ribosomal RNA", at positions 509 to 809 of the family's 1533-position model. The record is from RNAcentral.
CAGCCGCCGCGGGAAUACGAAGGGUGCAAGCGUUACUCGGAAUUACUGGGCGUAAAGCGUGCGUAGGCGGUUGGUUAAGUCUGCUGUGAAAGCCCUGGGCUCAACCUGGGAACUGCAGUGGAAACUGGCCAGCUAGAGUGUGUCAGAGGAUGGUGGAAUUCCCGGUGUAGCGGUGAAAUGCGUAGAGAUCGGGAGGAACACCAGUGGCGAAGGCGGCCAUCUGGGACAACACUGACGCUGAGGCACGAAAGCGUGGGGAGCAAACAGGAUUAGAUACCCGUGUAGUCCCUGUCUCUUAUAA